CCGUGCUAGAUGGGGAGUUAGCGGUGCCCUGUAACUCACAAUCCGCUAAAGUGAGAUCGAACACCUUGCUGAGGCAGUCAACUUUUUCUGGUCAGUGCUUGUGUAAGUGGUGUUGACGGUACGGGCCCUGUGCAAAGCACUCUUUGUGAACUCCGUCAGGACCGGGAGGUAGCAGCGGUAGCAGAGCAGUUGCUUGUGCUGCAGGUUCGCCUUGCCUGAGCUAACUGCAUGAGAUACGCAGGGAAUGUUUUGUCGAAGCAGAUGCACGG
Molecule: signal recognition particle RNA, 269 nt
Filed under: Candidatus Aminicenantota bacterium
Lineage: Bacteria; Candidatus Aminicenantota
Description: Candidatus Aminicenantes bacterium signal recognition particle sRNA large type
Rfam family: Bacterial large signal recognition particle RNA
About the family: The signal recognition particle (SRP) is a universally conserved ribonucleoprotein involved in the co-translational targeting of proteins to membranes. Archaeal SRP consists of a 7S RNA and homologues of the eukaryotic SRP19 and SRP54 proteins.
Source: RNAcentral